CGUAGGGUGCGAGCGUUAAUCGGAAUUACUGGGCGUAAAGCGUGCGCAGGCGGCGCGUUAAGACAGGUGUGAAAGCCCCGAGCUUAACUUGGGAAUUGCGCUUGUGACUGGCGUGCUGGAGUGUGGCAGAGGGAGGUGGAAUUCCACGUGUAGCAGUGUAAUGCGUAGAGAUGUGGAGGAACACCGAUGGCGAAGGCAGCCUCCUGGGCCAGCACUGACGCUCAUGCACGAAAGCGUGGGGAGCAAACAGGAUUAGAUACCCUGGUAGUCCACGCCCUAAACGAUGUCAACUGGUUGUUGGUGGGGUUAAACCCAUUAGUAACGAAGCUAACGCGUGAAGUUGACCGCCUGGGGAGUACGGCCGCAAGGUUA
RNAcentral lists this ribosomal RNA (372 nucleotides) under uncultured organism. RNAcentral's name for it is "bacterial SSU rRNA". It matches the Rfam family "Bacterial small subunit ribosomal RNA", at positions 526 to 896 of the family's 1533-position model. The record is from RNAcentral.